CAGCAGCCACGGGAAUACGAAGGGGGCCAGCGUUGUUCGGAAUUACUGGGCGUAAAGCGCACGUAGGCGGAUUUUUAAGUCAGGGGUGAAAUCCCGAGGCUCAACCUCGGGACUGCCUUUGAUACUGGAGAUCUUGAGUUCGGAAGAGGUUGGUGGAACAGCUAGUGUAGAGGUGAAAUUCGUAGAUAUUAGCUAGAACACCAGUGGCGAAGGCGGCCAACUGGUCCGAUACUGACGCUGAGGUGCGAAAGCGUGGGGAGCAAACAGGAUUAGAUACCCGGGUAGUCCCUGUCUCUUAUAC
This 301-nucleotide ribosomal RNA is filed under the name uncultured bacterium. RNAcentral describes it as "partial 16S ribosomal RNA". It matches the Rfam family "Bacterial small subunit ribosomal RNA", at positions 509 to 807 of the family's 1533-position model. The record is from RNAcentral.